GGGAUCCUUCCCCACGAAGGCAACGCCGCAUCCACCCAGAUGCCGACCUCCCUCGCCCCCAACCCAACCCCCGCCGGCGACCUUCGUCUCCCCCAGCCCAAUCCUACCCCGCUCUCCUCUCUCCCUAUGCCCCUACCUUCCUCCCUCCUUGACGGAGCCCGAAACUCUAGCUCAUCUGUUCCAUGGUUCCGGCCAUGGAUGGGGAGACCACGGACGCGGCAAUCGCCGUCCCACCCCGCACCUAUUCCGGCGAUGACGAUGCCGAAUCCGCAUCAGCAGCAGCCGAUCUGCACCCAACCACGACGGCUGCAGCUCGAUGGAGGAUGUAGGCUAGCCGCAUCGCUGAGUCCAACCAGGGCGUGGCACACCUGGAACCUCGCUGCCGCGGUGGUGCAGAACCAGCGUCGUGGCGGGCAACAACAGCAGGAGGAUAAAGAGACAGGGGAGCUCUCGGGGAGAUGACUGCUAAAUCACAGCUACCACAAAAAACACAGGCCAACACCUCGGACAUAACCCAUGCACCGGCCACUGUGAUUUCGCAUAUGGCAUGUUCUAAUCACUAGAGUGAAAGGCGAGCUCCAGACUUGGUAGAUGAUGCAGAGUGAAGAACUACAAUCUGAAGAAAGCAAGCAUCAACAAGGCUGAUACUGCUACUCUAUUUGAUCAUCCACUUUGCCGCAGUUUGGGCUAAGCAAGGUGGUUGGACAAUAGGGGAGCAGUAUUCCAAGAAAUUGAUUUCUUCGUCUGAUUUAGGGUGGUCUUCAGAAUCUGACAAGAAAUUGAUGCAAUUGAAGGUCCAACAUGAUUGUGCUGAUGCUCUCUCCUUUGUAGACGACCAUCCCGAUGUUUGGGGUUUACUUACUUGGUUUACAACACAAGAUUCCUGACCAGAAGGGGAACAACGCGGCGAUCACCAAGUAAGUUUUGCUCUGACUUUCUUUUGCAGAGUUAAUUGGUCUUAAACUUAAUUUCCAGGGAUGCUGAUGAAGCUUCUUAAUUGGCUAGAUGGAUUUGAUGAGGUUGCCAUGGUAAACUAACAUCAUCAAGUUUUUUUUCCUCUAGAUGCCUUUAUGCCAUAAAUGCAAAGGAACGGAUUCAAUCGAAGUAAUUUGCUAGCUAAUGUGUGUGUGAUAUGCACUCUAGCUUUCCUUGCUCUUGGGGAAAGUAUAGGUGUUUCAACAUGAAUUUUGCAGAUAAAAUCUAUUGUUCAUCAUUGCUUCAUUGUUUCUCUGAAUUUACUGGAUGUUGAUUCACAUUACAUUUUAUUUACUCCCUUAUCUAACGUAUCACAUUUUUUAGAAGGAUUUUUUUUAGGAUUGUAGGUUUUGUUCUGUCUUAUUGUUGACAUGCCAACAUAAUUACCUGAUUGUCUGAUAGGCUUGAAUUCUUACGAUUUCCUUCUUACUGUGUUUGUUUUAUUUAAUUUUGUGAAAAAUCUGAUUUUAUCCUAACCUGAUACAUCUUGAUCACUUAUGCCGAGAAGGGUUCAUCGUCCCAAUCAAGGUGAGUAAAUCGACCACCUCUUUGGUGCUUUUGCAAUUGGUAAUGUGCUACUUGUGGCUUGAGUGGCUUCAGUUCAGUGAAGAACACAACUUAUUUGCACUUGCUAGAAUAUAAUUAUCCUUUGUGAUUUUGCUAUGCGACUUGAUUGAUUUCAGGUUAGGAACAUGAUUAGGCUGUUGCAUUGUGCAUGACCAUGGGAAGACACUGUUUCCCAUCAUAUAGUUAGUGUGAUGGUACAAUUUCCCAUGCAGUAUAAGCUGGAGUGUGAGCUUUGCCUAUGCCCUUAGUAGCUUACAAAAUUUCACCUUAUUCCACUUUCAUGGUACUAUAUUGCCAUCAUGAAGCAUGGUCAUUUGGUUAGGAGUAUUUGUUUUACAACCUCGGGUUCACAUUAGUUGUUUCUCUUCAUGGCGAGUUAGCUUCAUCGGUGUCAUUUUCAGCUCGAUGGUCAUGAAUUAAUUGUGACUUCCUAUCUACUCACACUUACUUCAACAAUUGCUUGUUUUAACCAUAACUUAUUAUUCAGAUUGUCUUUGAUGUGUGAGUUUCAGCAACAUACACAACAUUGCACACUAUUAUGGAACGGAGGGAGUAUGUUCUUUUAUUACUAAUCCCACUUUCCAUGUGCAUGCUAGGCAAGUUGCCUUUCAGGUCCAGUGCAUCACUAGGCGAUUAUACGUUGUUUUCGGUUAGAUCAACUUGCAUCAGUCGCUGCUCGGUGUGUGAAAGGGGAAGUUCAGAAGUAGUGGGGAGUGCAGCUGACUAAAAUCCAUAUAGCAAUUGUGUUGGGUACAUCAAGAUGAAGAUCAAGAGAUUUUUUCAUGAAAUGCAUCAUGUUGUUUCUGAUGUGAAAAUGGAUUAUACCAGGCCUCUGGAGGACUCUGAAAGGUGUUCUUUUUAUUUGUUUCCUUAGUUGUGGCCUCAUGAGGUCCCUUUCUUUAGCCAAACUGAAGCACUUCAUGUUAGCUUGUCUUCACUUUUUGAUUAACUGUAAUGCAUUGUCUUACUCGUUUAUGCUCCCCAGGUGAGUCCCGCAUAUCCUCAUUAGAUGUAGCACUGGCUAUGUCGCACAUAUCCUCAUUAGAUGUAGCACUGGCUAUGACGGUUCUGAACUCAAAUAAUAUAGUAUAUGUAUGUUUGCUCGAUCUGGAAAUAAUAUAUCUUGAUGUUAUA
Molecule: long non-coding RNA, 2676 nt
Organism: Triticum aestivum (bread wheat)
Lineage: Eukaryota; Viridiplantae; Streptophyta; Magnoliopsida; Poales; Poaceae
Exons: 6
Source: RefSeq, a predicted model, not a curated record